AAUUUCAUUGGUCGUAAACAUUUUAUAAAUGCAACAAAUUUCAGAGGUCGUAAACAUUUUAUAAAUGUUCGCCUUUGAUAAUGCUUUUGAAAAGAUGGCUAUGGAAAUAGUGAUUUUACAAAGAUGUGUGGCUAUAAAGGUACCUACAUUUCAUUUGGCGCCCCUUGAAUAUCUGCAACCCGUGACAAACUAUCCCGGUCCCCCCCCCCUCUCUCUGAUUGUCAUAAACAAGAAGUAUGAAACAAUAAGAAGAACACCUGUUGGAUUAAGAAGAGCAUUUGUUGAAUGAACUGAUUAAAAAAACAAUAAAUAUAAUGACAAUCGAGGCAAAUUAUUAUUAUUUAUUAUUAGUUACAAAAGUACGUAUAACUUCAUUUUAUAAAGUUGCAAUAAAACAGGAAAUAAUCAAAUAUUUAUAAAUCAUAAACUGUAUUUUUUAUGAACAUGUUAAGUACUUGUUGAAAUUUUUUGAA
Long non-coding RNA from Hydra vulgaris (swiftwater hydra), 473 nucleotides. RefSeq lists it as uncharacterized. Lineage: Eukaryota; Metazoa; Cnidaria; Hydrozoa; Anthoathecata; Hydridae. The record is from RefSeq and is a predicted model, not a curated record.